UUCCGAGAGGAUUGACAGGAGUUUUUUCGUGAUUUGGUGAAUGGUGGUGCAUGUCCGUUCUUAGUAGGUGGAGCGAUUUGUCUCGUUAAUUCCAAUAACGAACGAGACUCUAGUUAGAUAGGCGUGCAUGGUUUUCUGCACCUUGCACCCUUAUUAGAGGGACAAGCGGCUCCUAGCCGCACGAAACAGAGCAAUAACAAGUCUGUGAUGCCCUUAGAU
Non-coding RNA from Ixodes scapularis (black-legged tick), 219 nucleotides. Lineage: Eukaryota; Metazoa; Arthropoda; Arachnida; Ixodida; Ixodidae. The record is from Rfam.